CCCGUACCGAACGACAAGGGUUUUCCAGAGGUAGGCUCGUCCGCUCUGGGUAAGUCGGGGACCUAAGCCGAGGCGAUAAGCGUAGGCGAUGGACAACAGGUAGAAAUUCCUGUACCAGUAAGAUUGCAUUUGAGUGAUGGAGUGACGCAGAAGGAAAAGAUGAGCGCGCGGAAGGAAGAGCGCGUCCAAGCCAUAAGGCUGCAUGUUAGGCAAAUCCGGCAUGCAUUAAGACUGAGUGGUGAUGGGGAGCCGAAAAUAGUAGGCGAAGCAUAUGGACUCACACUGCCAAGAAAAGCUUCUAGCAAGUAAUCAUACUGCCCGUACCGUAAACCGACACAGGUAGUUGGGAAGAGAAUUCUAAGGUGAGCGAGCGAACUCUCGUUAAGGAACUCGGCAAAAUGACCCCGUAACUUCGGGAGAAGGGGUGCUUAUAGCAAUAUAAGCCGCAGUGAAUAGGCCCAAGCGACUGUUUACCAAAAACACAGGUCUCUGCCAAACCGAAAGGUGAAGUAUAGGGGCUGACGCCUGCCCGGUGGUCGACGCGGCCG
RNAcentral lists this ribosomal RNA (548 nucleotides) under uncultured Pediococcus sp. Its description in RNAcentral is "bacterial LSU rRNA". It matches the Rfam family "Bacterial large subunit ribosomal RNA", at positions 1331 to 1881 of the family's 2925-position model. Lineage: Bacteria; Bacillati; Bacillota; Bacilli; Lactobacillales; Lactobacillaceae. The record is from RNAcentral.